Molecule: transfer RNA, 71 nt
Filed under: Pampus argenteus (silver pomfret)
Lineage: Eukaryota; Metazoa; Chordata; Actinopteri; Scombriformes; Stromateidae
Also listed under: 3 other names
Description: tRNA-Trp
Rfam family: tRNA
About the family: Transfer RNA (tRNA) molecules are approximately 80 nucleotides in length. Their secondary structure includes four short double-helical elements and three loops (D, anti-codon, and T loops). Further hydrogen bonds mediate the characteristic L-shaped molecular structure. tRNAs have two regions of fundamental functional importance: the anti-codon, which is responsible for specific mRNA codon recognition, and the 3' end, to which the tRNAs corresponding amino acid is attached (by aminoacyl-tRNA synthetases). tRNAs cope with the degeneracy of the genetic code in two manners: having more than one tRNA (with a specific anti-codon) for a particular amino acid; and 'wobble' base-pairing, i.e. permitting non-standard base-pairing at the 3rd anti-codon position.
Source: RNAcentral
AGGGACUUAGGAUAACACAAGUCCAAGGGCCUUCAAAGUCCUAAGCGAGGGUGAAAACCCCUCAGACCCUG